RNAcentral lists this non-coding RNA (24 nucleotides) under Cricetulus griseus (Chinese hamster). The record is from RNAcentral. Lineage: Eukaryota; Metazoa; Chordata; Mammalia; Rodentia; Cricetidae.
UGGAUGAAGAACUUGUUUGUGAGU